RNAcentral lists this ribosomal RNA (400 nucleotides) under uncultured bacterium. Its description in RNAcentral is "partial 16S ribosomal RNA". It matches the Rfam family "Bacterial small subunit ribosomal RNA", at positions 355 to 747 of the family's 1533-position model. The record is from RNAcentral.
UGGGGAAUAUUGCACAAUGGGCGCAAGCCUGAUGCAGCCAUGCCGCGUGUGUGAAGAAGGCCUUCGGGUUGUAAAGCACUUUCAGCGAGGAGGAAGGGUAGUGUGUUAAUAGCACAUUGCAUUGACGUUACUCGCAGAAGAAGCACCGGCUAACUCCGUGCCAGCAGCCGCGGUAAUACGGAGGGUGCAAGCGUUAAUCGGAAUUACUGGGCGUAAAGCGCACGCAGGCGGUUUGUUAAGUCAGAUGUGAAAUCCCCGCGCUUAACGUGGGAACUGCAUUUGAAACUGGCAAGCUAGAGUCUUGUAGAGGGGGGUAGAAUUCCAGGUGUAGCGGUGAAAUGCGUAGAGAUCUGGAGGAAUACCGGUGGCGAAGGCGGCCCCCUGGACAAAGACUGACGCU